RNAcentral lists this long non-coding RNA (2913 nucleotides) under Mytilus galloprovincialis (Mediterranean mussel). The record is from RNAcentral. Lineage: Eukaryota; Metazoa; Mollusca; Bivalvia; Mytilida; Mytilidae.
AUAAAAUUAGUUCUAAUUCAAUUUCAAUGCUUUCUUAAUGAUUACUGUAUGUAGUUGUUCAAUUUAUGCAAAAUCAUAUUACUGAUCAAUUUAAGGAAUAAUUUUAUAGUUAUCAAGUAUAUUUUAUAUAUGAUCAAUGAGAUAUGAUUUUCAAAUCAUCAAGGUAAUCAAUUCUGUUAUAAAAUAAUAAUUCUUACUUUAAACAUGUUUAAUUUGGUUAUUUUAUUUUAUUGCAGGGGUUUUGUUGUUAAGUCAAGUCCAAAGAACAAAUUAUUCUACAGAGCCUUAUAUAACAGACAAUUACAUUAAGAUAUUACAAUGCUGAUAUAUACAUUUUUUUAGAUUGAAAUCCUUUUCUUUAACACUAGAUAAUAUCUUUUUCAUUUUGAUUACAAUUGCUAAAAAUUAAAAACACACCAAAAGACAUCACAAAUUGAUGACAAACUUCAUAAUCCAUUCAUGCUUUUUACAUAUUUUUUUUUAUGUAGAUUGACAUUACAAUGCUUCUAUUUCUUCAUUUUGCUCAGAUCUCAUGUUGUUUCCAGUUUGAAAAAAACACCAUAUAUUUCACAUUUAAAUUUAUGUUUAUUUCAAAUGAGAGGUUAAAUCCUUGAGAAAAAAUGCCAGUACUAAAUAUCCAGUUACUGAUUUUGUGCACAAUGAGAUGAGCAUUUCCUAUUACAAAAAAUACUCCUAUUCAUGAUUGGGAGGUUCAAGCGUUGCUGUCCAAAACUGGCUAAUUUAAACUGGCAUAGCACAUGGUCAUGAUAAUGAUUAUCUAAAAUUAAAGUGAAAUCAAACAUACAAUUUGUGUGUUUUGUGCACACAAAUAUUCAGAAGAGAAUACGUAAGUCAAAUGUCUGAAAUAUUGGUUUUGCAAUGAAGUUAGACGUGUUUAAAUAUUUUUUUGAAUAUCAGAAGGAAGCAAAUGUUCCAAAUCUAUGUAAGAGAAACUGCACUUCUCAACUUCUUUAUGUAUAUCAUGUGACUUUUUUUUGUGUCAUUGUGGAAAUUUUUAAUAACAUUUCCGAUAUGUUCAUUUGAAGUGGUCCCAAUAAAAUGUAAUAUUUCUAUGAGUUGUAUAUAUAUAUAAUGUAUCAUCUCACGGCACCAAAGAACUGUCCCAUUUCUAAGAUAAUGUAAAUAAGAAUUUUAUGAUAUAUAUAUUUAUUUAUUAAACCUGUUAUGGCAUGGAUAUAGUAUACUAAAUUAUUUGUUUUUAUUUUCUUGCAUUUUCACAAACGCUUUUGAGCAGUACCUCAGAACUUAUGAUUUGUCUUUCAAGCCAUGAUCUCUGUAACACAUAGUACACAUUGUAAAUAUCAACUAUGAACCAUAACUCUUGUAAUCUAAAAAAACAACAUAUGAUGUAUGCAAAAUAUCCACUUAUUAUCAUGCUUGUAACUCCGAUAGAUUAACAUGUGUACUUCUGUUACAUAGUAUUUUCUUUACGCCAUAAAUGUAGAUUGAUUCACAACACAAAUUUUAGGCUUUCAAGAGGGAAAAAAAAGGUUCUGAACUUUAUUUCCACCUUUGGUAAAUUAACAACAAUUAUAGUUAGUUUAGUGACAGAUGUAUUUAAUAAGUGCUUAAUAUACUUUAUAGGGACACAUUUAUGUCCUAUCAUUGUGUGUAAAUUAUUUCAUUGUUUUAUUUUUACUUAUCAUAUAUCCAUGAAAUGGCUCUGUGUUUAAACUCACUAUUUAUUUUUUGAAUUAAUUGUAGAAACACUUACACAUACUAGACAAGUCUUUUUAUAGAUUUUCCGCACUGAUUCUGACAGGAAAACAAUAGUUUUUCACGAAUAAAGUAUUGAUUAUUCUAAAAUAUCCUUAUUAUUUUAUUGUGAAAAGUACAUGCAAUAAGAAUCUUGGAUGCUAUGGAAAAAUAUUUAAAAAAUUCUAUAUUUGUUUGGUUUUCACUUUUAUGAACAAUAUUGAUGAUAAAAAUAUAGAAAACAGACUAUAUGUCCAGUUUCUAUUUGUUAGUGAUUGUUCUGUGAACUUAUAAAAUGAUUAACAUUUUUCCUAUUAUUUCUUGCUAUCUAUUAUAAAAUUUACUUGACACUAUAUCAUAUAAAUGUAUUUCUUUGUAAUUUUUGUUAACCUGAAAAUCUAAACUAUGAUAAAUCCAGCUCCAAUGUUUCAUUUGGAGCUAAAAGUAAUGUAUUGCAUAUCACAUUUCAUUGUACAUUUAUAGUUGUAUAAAGUAUAUAUUACAAUUUCAGGUGUGAUAGUUUUAUGGAAUGAUAUUUCUAGGGAUUAAUUUUUCAACUUACAAUAUAAUUGAUUUUUAAUGGUUAAAUCUAUGAACCAAACCACAAUAAAGGUUCCAUUUUAAGAAUAAAGUGACAAAACAGGUAUCAUUACCAACCUUCUUUCCUUUCAAACUUAUUUUCAAAAUAUAUCUAUUGUAUUCAUUAAUUUGUUCAGACACUAAAUAUCCAUGAAAUAUUUGCCACUGGAUGUUUAUGCUGCAAUAAUAAAUCAAUGAAUCCUUGAAACUACAUGUGAAGUUUCUUCCAGUACUGUCAAUCAGUAAAUUUUAUUUAUUGCUGCAAACAGUUGUGUGAAAAAGUUACAAAUGUGAAAAAAACAUGACAUUCAGCAAAACAAAUAUGUAAAAGGCAAGGUAGAAACCGACGAAGCAAAUUUUUUAGCAGGACAUUACGAAAUAUCUUGUGACAAAAAUUAACUGCUUUACUGCAUUGAUAUUUUUAUAUCUUAAAUAGUCCCUUGUAAGGCUGUUAUUAUCUUUGUUUUGAAGUGAUUCACAAAUUAGUCGUAUAACAAUGACCGCCAAACAUACAGAAUAUGUUAGAUAGUUUUUGUUAAAAAUUCUGUAUUUGUACGUAGUGCUCAUGAGGUGAAAAAUACACCUAGUUUUGUUGUGAAAUAAAAACAAAAUGUUUGA